This is a long non-coding RNA of Gadus macrocephalus (Pacific cod), 434 nucleotides long. RefSeq lists it as uncharacterized. Lineage: Eukaryota; Metazoa; Chordata; Actinopteri; Gadiformes; Gadidae. The record is from RefSeq and is a predicted model, not a curated record. The transcript has 2 exons.
GAACCGAUCGUUCAGCUAGUCCUGUACAGCAAAUACAGUUCAGCCUGAGAAGACGCGCAACUGAGAGCAAGACAAGAUCCACAGGGCUCUCCAUCAAUCCAGCCACGUAGGAAGAUCCGCCUCAUUACAGGUCUGAAGGUCAUCUUGAACAUCCAUUGAGGUCCCUUUCCAACUUCAGAGUCCUUGUGGAAUGCCUUUAGGUGUCCAUCCUCCAUUGAUCCUGAUUGGUGUAGUCCUAGUUUGAAGUCGCUGAUCUGAACACGCCGCUUGCAUCCUUUUACACUUGAUUUGGAUACUCUCCUUCCUGCCCAGUGACGCAGAACCAAGGAAACACACGUAGAACCCCGUGCCGGGUGUGAGUGGGACACACACACACACAGUAGAACCCUAACGAUGCUCAAAAAUUUUCCAUCUCAUGUCAAACCCACACACAC